Molecule: ribosomal RNA, 1714 nt
Filed under: Oecobius cellariorum
Lineage: Eukaryota; Metazoa; Arthropoda; Arachnida; Araneae; Oecobiidae
Description: SSU rRNA
Rfam family: Eukaryotic small subunit ribosomal RNA
Source: RNAcentral
UGCAUGUCUAACUACGUGCCGAUCUCCAGGCGAAACCGCGAAUGGCUCAUUAAAUCAGUUACAAUUCCUUGGAUCGUACUCGCCUACUUGGAUAACUGUGGCAAAUCUAGAGCUAAUACAUGCAGCAGAGCUCCGACCCCCCAGCCGGGGACGAGCGCUUUUAUUAGACCAACCAAUCGGGCGGCCCUCCCGUCCGUUCCCCGUGGCGACUCUGAGUAACUUUGGGCCGAUCGCACGGGCACGUCCCGGCGACGUAUCUUUCAAGUGUCUGCCUUAUCAACUGUCGAUGGUAGGUUACGUGCCUACCAUGGUCGCAACGGGUGACGGGGAAUUAGGGUUCGAUUCCGGAGAGGGAGCCUGAGAAACGGCUACCACAUCCAAGGAAGGCAGCAGGCGCGCAAAUUACCCACUCCCGGCACGGGGAGGUAGUGACGAAAAAUAACAAUACGGGACUCUUUUGAGACUCCGUAAUUGGAAUGAGGACGCUCCAAACCCUCUACCGAGGAUCGAUUGGAGGGCAAGUCUGGUGCCAGCAUCCGCGGUAAACCCAGCUCCAAUAGCGUACAUUAAAUUUGCUGCGGUUAAAAAGCUCGUAGUUGGAUCUCAGUUCCGGCCCGGCGGUCCGCCCCACCGGCGGUCGCCGUCGGCGCCGAACACGCAGUCGGUUUUCCUCGAUGAUCUUCACCGGUUGUCUUGGGUGACCGACGACUUUACUUUGAAAAAAUUAGAGUGCUCAGAGCAGGCGCGACGCCUGGAUAGUGGUGCAUGGAAUAAUGGAAUAGGACCUCGGUUCUAUUUUGUUGGUUUUCGGAACGCCCGAGGUAAUGAUUAAGAGGGACAGACGGGGGCAUUCGUACUGCAUGGUUAGAGGUGAAAUUCUUGGAUCCAUGCAAGACGAACUACUGCGAAAGCAUUUGCCAAGAAUGUUUCCCUUAAUCAAGAACGAAAGUCAGAGGCUCGAAGGCGAUCAGAUACCGCCCUAGUUUUGACCAUAAACGAUGCCAGCCAGCGAUCCGGCUGUGUUCCUCAAAUGACACGCCGGGCAGCUUCCGGGAAACCAAAGCCUUUGGGUUCCGGGGGAAGUAUGGUUGCAAAGCUGAAACUUAAAGGAAUUGACGGAAAGGCACUACAAGGCAUGGAGCCUGCGGCUCAAUUUGACUCAACGCGCGAUAGCCUACCCGGCCCGGACACAGGAAGGAUUGACAGAUUAAGAGCUCUUUCUUGAUUCUGUGGAAGGUGGUGCAUGGCCGUUUGUAGUUGGUGGAGCGAUUUGUCUGGUUAAUUCCGAUAACGAUCGAGAUCCCAGCCUGCUAAAUAGGCGAUCCGAUCUGUCCGUCGGACGCUUCUUCUUAGAGGGACAAGCGGCGUUCAGCCGCACGAAACGGGGCGAAAACAGGUCUGAGAUGCCCUUAGAUGUCCGGGGCCGCACGCGCGCUACAUUGAAGGAAUCAGCGUGCGCUCGCCCCGUCCGACAGGACCGGGUAACCCGCUGAAACUCCUUCGUGCUGGGGAUAGGGGCUUGAAAUUGUUCCCCUUGAACGAGGAAUUCCCAGUAAGCGCGAGUCAUAAUCUCGUGCUGAAUACGUCACUGCCUCUUGUACACACCGCCUGUCGCCACUACCGAUUGAAUGAUUUAGUGAGGUCAUCGGACUGGUGCCCGGAGCGGUCUCUCGGUCGCGCCGGCGUGCCGGAAAGUUGACCGAACUUGGUCAUU